AAGGCGCUUUGCGCCUUAUAUUACGGAAAUAGGCAAUGUGCCUCAUUCCUAUCAGACCGAGAAGAACAAAAGGGUAGUUUUCAAGUCCCUUUGAUUUUUCACCAUAAAACACUGAUAUACGAAGAUCUAACCGUCCAAACUCAAAUCCGAUUUCGAAAACGUAAACAACGAAGCCCGAUCUACGUUUCUACCGAUUAGUUUAAGGAUUUGUUGUGAGGAGCUUGCUAAACACUCUCCAAGUGUCGGAUUUACAUUUGGUGGAAUUUUCGGAUUUGUUGUGAGGAGCUUGCUAAACACUCUCCAAGUGUCGGAUUUACAUUUGGUGGAAUUUUUGUGACACAUUACAUGGUGGUGUCUAGGAGACCUAGUGCUUAAUAUCCGCCCAGCCAAUGUUCUGCAGAUAUAGAUAAUGACUCGUCCACCUAGCGUAUGGGAUGCUAUGAUUGGAGCACAUCGCGACAGUCAUAAGUCACGGACUCAUGGGUAGUCCGCAUUUGGGUAUUUUAUUUAUGGCUCAUGUCAUACGUGGCAUAUGUAUUUGUUGAGCCUGUAUUUUAGUAUAUAGUCAGUGUAAUAUGUUUUAUAAGCCUUAAAUAGAUAGACUUGUAAAUGGCUCUUCUUGUAAUUAACUGUUAUGUAUUAGAUGUAUUUCCGCUUAUGAUAUGUUUUCCGCUGCACAUUGAUUAUUA
Alnus glutinosa is the source of this 689-nucleotide long non-coding RNA. RefSeq lists it as uncharacterized. NCBI's taxonomy places the organism in Eukaryota, Viridiplantae, Streptophyta, Magnoliopsida, Fagales, Betulaceae. The record is from RefSeq and is a predicted model, not a curated record. The transcript is spliced from 5 exons.